CACUCCUGCGGGAGGCAGCAGUGGGGAAUAUUGGACAAUGGGCGCAAGCCUGAUCCAGCCAUGCCGCGUGAGUGAUGAAGGCCCUAGGGUUGUAAAGCUCUUUCACCGGUGAAGAUAAUGACGGUAACCGGAGAAGAAGCCCCGGCUAACUUCGUGCCAGCAGCCGCGGUAAUACGAAGGGGGCUAGCGUUGUUCGGAUUUACUGGGCGUAAAGCGCACGUAGGCGGACUAUUAAGUCAGGGGUGAAAUCCCGGGGCUCAACCCCGGAACUGCCUUUGAUACUGGUAGUCUUGAGUUCGAGAGAGGUGAGUGGAAUUCCGAGCGUAGAGGUGAAAUUCGUAGAUAUUCGGAGGAACACCAGUGGCGAAGGCGGCUCACUGGCUCGAUACUGACGCUGAGGUGCGAAAGCGUGGGGAGCAAACAGGAUUAGAAACCCCGGUAGUCCCA
Molecule: ribosomal RNA, 447 nt
Filed under: uncultured organism
Description: partial 16S ribosomal RNA
Rfam family: Bacterial small subunit ribosomal RNA
Source: RNAcentral